Molecule: ribosomal RNA, 494 nt
Filed under: uncultured bacterium
Lineage: Bacteria
Description: partial 16S ribosomal RNA
Rfam family: Bacterial small subunit ribosomal RNA
Source: RNAcentral
GACGAACGCUGGCGGCGUGCUUAACACAUGCAAGUCGAACGGAAAGGCCUGCUUUCCCUUGUGGAUUGCGGGUACUCGAGUGGCGAACGGGUGAGUAACACGCGCGUGAUCUGCCCACACCUUGGGUAUAAGCCUGGGAAACUGGGUCUAAUUCCCGUUAGGACUGCAGGGUGGUGCCUGUGGUUGGAAUCGAUUUUCUCGUGGUUGGGGAUGAGCUCGCGGCCUAUCAGCUGGUUGGUGGGGUAAUGGCCUACCAAGGCGGCGACGGGUAGCCGGGCGGAGAGGGUGGGCGGCCACAUUGGGACGGAGAGACGGCCCAGACUCCAACGGCAGGCAGCAGUGGGGAAUAUGGCACAAGGGGCGGAAGCCGGAUGCAGCGACGCCGCGUGGGGGAUGACGGCCUUCGGGUGGUAAACUCCUUUCGGCCGCGAGGAAGCCACCUGGUUGGAAGGGUGGUGACGGUAGUGGUAGAAGAAGCACCGGCUAACUACGUG